GCUAUGUUGUUAUUCAAACUAGCAGUUUAAAGCAAUGAAUGUUUAUCUCACAGGUUUUGUGGGUUAGGAAUUCAGGAGCAAUUUAGCUGGGUGCUUCUGGCUUGGUGUCUUUCGAAUCAUGCUGUGGGCCAGGGCAGAAGUCAGUGAAACGUGACUGGGGCUGGAGGUUCCUCUUCCAGGCUCAUUCAUGCAGCUGUCGUCCAGAAACUGCCGUGGCACCAUCUCCUUCAGGCUUCGCACAGCAUGGCUUCCCUCACUGUUCUAAUCUCCGAAAUGGCACGCUUUCACUUCGUCUCUCUUCUCUUUGUAAGGAGCCAGUCACUUAAGUCCAGCCCAUGCUCAGGAGGAAGGAAGGCAGCCACCAUGUAAGUGGAAGUCCCCCGGAGAGUCAGUAGAAGGGAAGAAUGGCUUGAUUCCUGCCCCCAUCUCUCGGCCAAAGGAUCCUGAGGAAAGCAAUGCUAACUCUUGGCAGAAGGGACAUCCAGCAAUCAGCCAUCUCUCUUGCAAGUGUUCUGGACUUCUCUAUUAAAAAACAGCCUGUUCAGCCAGCAUGUGUCACUGUGUCAUAUUCUGAGGUAGAAAUGGGCUUCCCUGGUGGCUCAGAUGGUAAAGAAUUUGCCUGCAAUGCAGGAAAUGCAGCCUUGAUCCCUGGGUUGGGAAGAUAUAUAAAUGGUCACAACAGCAAGUGGGGGAUCAUUGAGCUUGACACAUUUCAGAUGACUACACGGGGCCAACGCAGCAGCCCCACCCUCCAUGCUGGUGUGUUGUAUAUGAGAUGUGUCCAUGGAGCAUGGGAGCUUAAUGUCCCCUGACUGUCAGUCUCAUAUCAAUGUGGCUGCUAGAUUGCUGCAUUUCCAGCAACCCAUUUGGAUUAAAGAACCUCGAAACGCCCAUGUUGGGAUCUCUAUGUGACAGCAUUGAGAGUGUCAUCUGAAGGCAGCAGGAAGUCUGACAGUCACUAAACUUGUUUUAGAAGCUAGAAAUUCUACCAUUUGUGAAGAUGAAGGCAGUUUGAACCUUUCUGGAUGAAUGCUGCAGUUUGUUUUUGGAACUGAACCUCUGACCUUCCUGAAGGACUGUCUCUUUGCUUUUAAGCUUCAGUCUUCUUUGACCUUUUGCCCCACACCUGGGCAAGCUGAUAAGACUGGAUGUUCUCUCCUUGGGCACCUAUUGAAAGUUCAAACCACACAAGUCCUAUCCAGGCACAGAAACCCUUACCUCAGUCUCACCUUCUAA
Molecule: long non-coding RNA, 1236 nt
Organism: Bos taurus (domestic cattle)
Lineage: Eukaryota; Metazoa; Chordata; Mammalia; Artiodactyla; Bovidae
Source: Ensembl